UAAGCUCGUGAUCAACAGGCAGAA
This is a microRNA of Caenorhabditis elegans, 24 nucleotides long. Lineage: Eukaryota; Metazoa; Nematoda; Chromadorea; Rhabditida; Rhabditidae. The record is from Ensembl.